Molecule: ribosomal RNA, 499 nt
Filed under: uncultured bacterium
Lineage: Bacteria
Description: partial 16S ribosomal RNA
Rfam family: Bacterial small subunit ribosomal RNA
Source: RNAcentral
GACGAACGCUGGCGGCGUGCCUAAUACAUGCAAGUCGAGCGAAGUUUUUCUGGUGCUUGCACUAGAAAAACUUAGCGGCGAACGGGUGAGUAACACGUAAAGAACCUGCCUCAUAGACUGGGACAACUAUUGGAAACGAUAGCUAAUACCGGAUAACAGUAUUUCUCGCAUGAGAGAUAUUUAAAAGUUGGUUAUGCCAACACUAUGAGAUGGCUUUGCGGUGCAUUAGCUAGUUGGUGGGGUAAAGGCCCACCAAGGCGACGAUGCAUAGCCGACCUGAGAGGGUGAUCGGCCACACUGGGACUGAGACACGGCCCAGACUCCUACGGGAGGCAGCAGUAGGGAAUCUUCCGCAAUGGGCGAAAGCCUGACGGAGCAACGCCGCGUGAGUGAAGAAGGAUUUCGGUUCGUAAAGCUCUGUUGUUAGGGAAGAAUGGAUAUGUAGUAACUAUACAUGUAAGAGACGGUACCUAACCAGAAAGCCACGGCUAACUACGUG